CUUAGAAAAUGGAAGUGCCUGAGGACCCUGAGCAGUCAGGAGUAAACCUUUAAUCCUGGGAGAAACGCGGGCUGGGUUCAGUCACGGGGCAGAGCAGAAGGGCUGCUCAGGACCAGGCACCUCAAACCAAAGCACUUGGGGCACAGAGGGCCAUGGCCAAGCACCCCAGUGAGCUCAGAACCUGUUAGAAGUGAGCUGAACCAAGUAUCACUGAAUGCAUCCUGCACCAAGCAUGAAUAACAGCCUGACCAUCAGAGCACACAGAAACACAAACUGAGAACCCAACUGUUUCCUAUGAGGGAAGCUGCAGAUUUUUUGAUUAUGCACAAAUAUUUCCUAGUGUGAUUCAUCCACCCUUGAUAUUGGAUUAAGACCACAAUAUGAUAAAAAUAAUAUUAUUAACACA
Long non-coding RNA from Pseudopipra pipra, 406 nucleotides. RefSeq lists it as uncharacterized. The transcript has 2 exons. The record is from RefSeq and is a predicted model, not a curated record. Lineage: Eukaryota; Metazoa; Chordata; Aves; Passeriformes; Pipridae.